RNAcentral lists this ribosomal RNA (516 nucleotides) under Metschnikowia sp. 11-1088. RNAcentral describes it as "eukaryotic LSU rRNA". It matches the Rfam family "Eukaryotic large subunit ribosomal RNA", at positions 50 to 653 of the family's 3401-position model. The record is from RNAcentral. Lineage: Eukaryota; Fungi; Ascomycota; Pichiomycetes; Serinales; Metschnikowiaceae.
ACGGAGGAAAAGAAACCAACAGGGAUUGCCUCAGUAACGGCGAGUGAAGCGGCAAAAGCUCAAAUUUGAAAUCCCCCGGGAAUUGUAAUUUGAAGAGAUUUGGGUCCGGCCGGCGGGGGUUAAGUCCACUGGAAAGUGGCGCCACAGAGGGUGACAGCCCCGUGAACCCCCUCAACGCCUUUAUCCCAGGUCUCCAAGAGUCGAGUUGUUUGGGAAUGCAGCUCUAAGUGGGUGGUAAAUUCCAUCUAAAGCUAAAUACCGGCGAGAGACCGAUAGCGAACAAGUACAGUGAUGGAAAGAUGAAAAGCACUUUGAAAAGAGAGUGAAAAAGUACGUGAAAUUGUUGAAAGGGAAGGGCUUGCAAGCAGACACUUAACUGGGCCAGCAUCGGGGCGGCGGGGAGCAAAACCACUGGGGAAUGUACCCUUCGAGGAUUAUAACCCCGGUCCUUACUCCCUCACCAUCCCGAGGCCUGCAAUCUAAGGAUGCUGGCGUAAUGGUUGCAAGUCGCCCGUC